GAAGCGGGUAGCCCGCUCCCGGCCCACCGGGCCGGGGUAAGACGGGUGCUCCAGAUCCGCAAGGGUCUGGUGCC
RNAcentral lists this small RNA (74 nucleotides) under [Actinomadura] parvosata subsp. kistnae. RNAcentral describes it as "Nonomuraea sp. ATCC 55076 Transposase-2 RNA". It matches the Rfam family "Transposase-2 RNA". The record is from Rfam by way of RNAcentral. Lineage: Bacteria; Bacillati; Actinomycetota; Actinomycetes; Streptosporangiales; Streptosporangiaceae.